UACAGAGACUGCAAGCGUUAUUCGGAUUCACUGGGCGUAAAGGGUGCGUAGGCGGGUUCUUAAGUCAGUGGUGAAAGCCCGGAGCUCAACUCCGGAACUGCCAUUAAAACUGUUUAGCUUGAGGACGAGAGAGGUGAGUGGAAUUCCCAGUGUAGAGGUGAAAUUCGUAGAUAUUGGGAAGAACACCGGUGGCGAAGGCGGCUCACUGGCUCGUAUCUGACGCUCAGGCGCGAUAGCGUGGGGAUCAAACAGG
Molecule: ribosomal RNA, 253 nt
Filed under: uncultured bacterium
Lineage: Bacteria
Description: partial 16S ribosomal RNA
Rfam family: Bacterial small subunit ribosomal RNA
Source: RNAcentral